This 936-nucleotide ribosomal RNA is filed under the name Staphylococcus aureus. RNAcentral describes it as "partial 23S ribosomal RNA". It matches the Rfam family "Bacterial large subunit ribosomal RNA", at positions 1217 to 2149 of the family's 2925-position model. Lineage: Bacteria; Bacillati; Bacillota; Bacilli; Caryophanales; Staphylococcaceae. The record is from RNAcentral.
UUUGGACAAUGGUAGGAGAGCGUUCUAAGGGCGUUGAAGCAUGAUCGCAAGGACAUGUGGAGCGCUUAGAAGUGAGAAUGCCGGUGUGAGUAGCGAAAGACGGGUGAGAAUCCCGUCCACCGAUUGACUAAGGUUUCCAGAGGAAGGCUCGUCCGCUCUGGGUUAGUCGGGUCCUAAGCUGAGGCCGACAGGCGUAGGCGAUGGAUAACAGGUUGAUAUUCCUGUACCACCUAUAAUCGUUUUAAUCGAUGGGGGGACGCAGUAGGAUAGGCGAAGCGUGCGAUUGGAUUGCACGUCUAAGCAGUAAGGCUGAGUAUUAGGCAAAUCCGGUACUCGUUAAGGCUGAGCUGUGAUGGGGAGAAGACAUUGUGUCUUCGAGUCGUUGAUUUCACACUGCCGAGAAAAGCCUCUAGAUAGAAAAUAGGUGCCCGUACCGCAAACCGACACAGGUAGUCAAGAUGAGAAUUCUAAGGUGAGCGAGCGAACUCUCGUUAAGGAACUCGGCAAAAUGACCCCGUAACUUCGGGAGAAGGGGUGCUCUUUAGGGUUAACGCCCAGAAGAGCCGCAGUGAAUAGGCCCAAGCGACUGUUUAUCAAAAACACAGGUCUCUGCUAAACCGUAAGGUGAUGUAUAGGGGCUGACGCCUGCCCGGUGCUGGAAGGUUAAGAGGAGUGGUUAGCUUCUGCGAAGCUACGAAUCGAAGCCCCAGUAAACGGCGGCCGUAACUAUAACGGUCCUAAGGUAGCGAAAUUCCUUGUCGGGUAAGUUCCGACCCGCACGAAAGGCGUAACGAUUUGGGCACUGUCUCAACGAGAGACUCGGUGAAAUCAUAGUACCUGUGAAGAUGCAGGUUACCCGCGACAGGACGGAAAGACCCCGUGGAGCUUUACUGUAGCCUGAUAUUGAAAUUCGGCACAGCUUGUACAGGAUAGGUA